Molecule: ribosomal RNA, 468 nt
Filed under: uncultured bacterium
Lineage: Bacteria
Description: partial 16S ribosomal RNA
Rfam family: Bacterial small subunit ribosomal RNA
Source: RNAcentral
GACGAACGCUGGCGGCGUGCUUAACACAUGCAAGUCGAACGGAAGGGCCCUGCUUUUGUGGGGUGCUCGAGUGGCGAACGGGUGAGUAACACGUGAGUAACCUGCCCUUGACUUUGGGAUAACUUCAGGAAACUGGGGCUAAUACCGGAUAGGAGCUCCUGCUGCAUGGUGGGGGUUGGAAAGUUUCGGCGGUUGGGGAUGGACUCGCGGCUUAUCAGCUUGUUGGUGGGGUAGUGGCUUACCAAGGCUUUGACGGGUAGCCGGCCUGAGAGGGUGACCGGCCACAUUGGGACUGAGAUACGGCCCAGGCUCCUACGGGAGGCAGCAGUGGGGAAUAUUGCACAAUGGGCGGAAGCCUGAUGCAGCAACGCCGCGUGCGGGAUGACGGCCUUCGGGUUGUAAACCGCUUUCGCCUGUGACGAAGCGUGAGUGACGGUAAUGGGUAAAGAAGCACCGGCUAACUACGUG